UACGUAGGCAGCGAGCGUUGUUCGGAAUUAUUGGGCGUAAAGGGCGCGUAGGCGGCUUGGCAAGUGGAAGGUGAAAUCCCUCGGCUUAACCGAGGAACUGCCCUCCAAACUGCUUCGCUUGAGACCGGGAGAGGUGAGUGGAAUUCCCAGUGUAGCGGUGAAAUGCGUAGAUAUUGGGAGGAACACCAGUGGCGAAGGCGGCUCACUGGACCGGUACUGACGCUGAUGCGCGAAAGCGUGGGGAGCAAACAGG
Molecule: ribosomal RNA, 253 nt
Filed under: uncultured bacterium
Lineage: Bacteria
Description: partial 16S ribosomal RNA
Rfam family: Bacterial small subunit ribosomal RNA
Source: RNAcentral